This is a small nuclear RNA of Meriones unguiculatus (Mongolian gerbil), 104 nucleotides long. The record is from Ensembl. NCBI's taxonomy places the organism in Eukaryota, Metazoa, Chordata, Mammalia, Rodentia, Muridae.
GUGUUAGCUUCAGCAGCACAUAUAUUUAAAUCAGAAUGAUACAGACAUUAUCAUGGCCCUUAUGCAAGGAUGACAGGGAAAACCAUGAAGUAUUCCAUAUUUUU